GACGAACCGUGCGAACGUUAUUCGGAAUCACUGGGCUUAAAGCGCGUGUAGGCGGGCCGCCGCGUCGAUCGCUGAAAUCCCCCGGCUCAACCGGGGAACCGGCGCCGAUACGGGCGGCCUCGAGGGGGGUAGGGGGGCCUGGAACUUCCGGUGGAGCGGUGAAAUGCGUUGAGAUCGGAAGGAACGCCCGUGGCGAAAGCGAGGCCCUGGACCCUUUCUGACGCUGAGACGCGAAAGCCAGGGGAGCGAACGGG
Molecule: ribosomal RNA, 254 nt
Filed under: uncultured bacterium
Lineage: Bacteria
Description: partial 16S ribosomal RNA
Rfam family: Bacterial small subunit ribosomal RNA
Source: RNAcentral